UACGAAGGGGGCUAGCGUUGCUCGGAAUCACUGGGCGUAAAGGGUGCGUAGGCGGGGCUUUAAGUCAGGGGUGAAAUCCUGGAGCUCAACUCCAGAACUGCCUUUGAUACUGCAAAUCUCGAGUCCGGAAGAGGUGAGUGGAAUUCCUAGUGUAGAGGUGAAAUUCGUAGAUAUUAGGAAGAACACCAGUGGCGAAGGCGGCUCACUGGUCCGGUACUGACGCUGAGGUGCGAAAGCGUGGGGAGCAAACAGG
This 253-nucleotide ribosomal RNA is filed under the name uncultured bacterium. RNAcentral's name for it is "partial 16S ribosomal RNA". It matches the Rfam family "Bacterial small subunit ribosomal RNA", at positions 524 to 776 of the family's 1533-position model. The record is from RNAcentral.